Molecule: transfer RNA, 71 nt
Filed under: Candidatus Lloydbacteria bacterium CG22_combo_CG10-13_8_21_14_all_47_15
Lineage: Bacteria; Candidatus Lloydiibacteriota
Description: tRNA-Pro
Rfam family: tRNA
About the family: Transfer RNA (tRNA) molecules are approximately 80 nucleotides in length. Their secondary structure includes four short double-helical elements and three loops (D, anti-codon, and T loops).
Source: RNAcentral
CGGGCCGUAGUAUAGUGGCAGUACACAUGCUUUGGGAGCAUGUAGUCUGGGUUCGAUUCCCAGCGGCCCGA